CAGUCGAGCGCCCGCAGGGGAGCGGCUGACGGGUGAGGACGCGUGGGAACUACCCUUUUCUACGGGAUAACGCAUGGAAACAUGUGCUGAUACCGUAGUGGCCGACAGGCGAAAGAUUUAUCGUAAAAGGAUGAGCCCGCGUUGGAUUACCUAGUUGGUGGGGUAAAGGCCUAACUAGGUAACUAUCCAUAUCUGGGCUGACAGGAUGAUCAACCUCACUGUGACUGAAACACAGCCCAAACUCCUACGGGAGGCAGCAGUGGGGCAUAUUGCACAAUGAGCGCACGCCUGAUCCAUCCGUGCCGCGUGUGUGAUGAAGGCCCUAGGGUUGUAAAGGACUUUCGCCGGACAACAUAAUGACGGUUGCCGGAGAACAAGCCCCGGCUAACUUCUUGCCAACAGCCGCGGUAAGACGAAGGGGGCUAACGUUGUUCGGAUUUACUGGGCGUAAAGCGCACGUAUGCUGACUAUUAAGUCAGGGGUGAAAUCCCGGGGCUCAACCCCGGAACUGCCUUUGAUACUGGUAGUCUUGAUUUCAAGACACGUGAGUGGAAUUCCGAGUGUAGACGUGAAAUUCGUUGAUGUUCUGAGGAACACCAGUGUGGAAUGCGGCUCGCUGGCUCGAUACUGACGCUGAUGUGCAAAAGCGUGGGUGAGCAAACGGGAUUAGAUGCCCUGGUAGUCCACCGUCGUAAACUAUGACAGGUAACCCUCGGGGCAAUAUACUGUUCGGGGGGCGCCACACACUCAAUUGAGGCUCUCCGGCCUGGGGGAGGUACGGGCCCCCAA
RNAcentral lists this ribosomal RNA (789 nucleotides) under Phyllobacterium sp. RNAcentral describes it as "bacterial SSU rRNA". It matches the Rfam family "Bacterial small subunit ribosomal RNA", at positions 59 to 897 of the family's 1533-position model. The record is from RNAcentral. Lineage: Bacteria; Pseudomonadati; Pseudomonadota; Alphaproteobacteria; Hyphomicrobiales; Phyllobacteriaceae.